CCCUCUCUUCCUAGGGGUCAUAGGUCUUAUCCCAGCCAUUGCACUUUGAGUGACUAGCACUUUUUCACUGUGCUCUGUUCUAUGGACCUGCUCUCUGGCACAUACCUCACUCACUGAGCCAUCUUGCUGCAGAAAAAGAGCUAAGCUUGGUAGAUCUCUUGAGAAUCUGGUCAAUGGCAAGGAAAAAUCUUGACUCUAAAAAUGGAACAGUUUGUAAUGCUCAACUCACAGUAAUCUACAGUCGCCUGCUGCUCCUGCAAAGAGAAACACAAAGAGCGCCUUGCGGAGGCCUGGGCAGCACCGCAGAUGCCACUGCUCUUGGAAGCCGCUGGCCCAGCGGAAACCUGGAGGCCAGGUUUACCUGCCACCCACUGAACCAUUUUCAGAGAUGGAAAAGGGUCGGCUCACUCUUUUCCCCCUUGGAAAGUACCCUCCAGGGGCUCUCUUCGGGAAACUAAGGUAAAGUCAGUUUUUAAAUGUGUUCAGAUAAUAUAGGUUAUUAGCCUUCAUCUUUCCUACAGCAUGGAGAAUACAGAACAAUGAUAAAUCAAAGACGAUCAGUAUACCACAUAAUGUAAUCACAUACAAGUUAAUAAGAAAAUGAAUUUGUCUGUGCUUUCACUUGAACGUGGGUUCACAAUAUUUACAUUUAAAAUCAGCACGUUUUUGUUUUGUUUUGAGACAGGGUCUUGCUAUGUAGUUCACGUUGGCCUCGAACUCACGGUGAUCCUCCUGCCUCAGCCUCUGGAGUGCUAGGAUUACAGAAGAGCGACACCACACCCAGCUCCUAAAAUAAGCAGUUUUGAAAAUAAUCAGUAUAAAACACACUAACUGUACAUCUAUAUUUCAUAGGAAUGAUUAAGUACAAGAAAGUAAAGCUAUACAGAAAUAUUUCUUUCUGAUCACUUUGUUUACUUAUAUGAUAGAUGUACUUUUUUAACAUGCUUAAUUUUGAAACGUGUUUCUGUAUCAGUGCAAAAUGGUCUGAUGAAUUAUUUUGAAAUUACCAGUUGCUAUUUGUGAAAUAUUUCUAUUAUGCAGCAUGUAUUUAACCACUUAACAGUUUACCCAAGGGUUACUCAGGCAGUACUUUUGUUUACAUGCUAUCCCAAGUGUUACCUGGGCGGGUGCCAUGGCAGCCAGUCCAUUUUUUUUAUUGAAUGAAUUGAUCAAAUUUUCUUUUUUCUACUUCUUGCUAUAUUGUAAAAAUUAAUGGAAAAUGUAAUAUUUGGUCAUCAUGUCUUUAAAUAAUUGGACUGGUAAGUGAUUAAAAGAAAAC
Molecule: long non-coding RNA, 1279 nt
Filed under: Fukomys damarensis (Damara mole-rat)
Lineage: Eukaryota; Metazoa; Chordata; Mammalia; Rodentia; Bathyergidae
Description: lncRNA (ENSFDAG00000028997.1)
Source: RNAcentral